AGAGAAUCCCUUCAGGGACUUUGACAGUGCUUCCAACACCCAACGCCGCUUUCUUUGGAUCCUUUGUGCCACCACCGGCCACUGCUGCAAUGCAGCCCAGCAUUGGCAGAGCAAUGCUGGUGUCACCGCAACCCCUCCCUGUCCCCAGUGUCACCCACGUGGCACCUCAGGCCUCUGUCUGGCCUGGGCUACCAGGCGUCCAGGGACAGGGAGCGCAGCUCCCACCUGGGGGGCUGCCUCCAGCUGUGGUUCAGCUGCCACCCGGGGGGCAGCACUUACCACUGCUGCAGCUGCUACCUUGGGAGCUGCACCCAGGCAUGGCUCCCCCCAUGGCCCCUGCCCACUGCUGGGGACAUUCCCUGCUGGCAGGGACACCGCAGCCCCAGCAGCCGAUGGGGCUGUGGCCUGGGGCUGUGUUCCAUGGGGAGCCCCCGCAGUCCGCAGGCAGCUGCCUACUGCAGGCCUCCAGCAGCCCCGUCCUUCUGCCAGCACCUUCAGUGCAGCAGCAGGUGCUCCCCGUGCCCUGCACGCUGCCCACCAGCUGGGAGCAGGCGGUGGGGCCCUUUGGAGAUGCUGUGGUGCUCACGGAGGACCAGGGGCACCCAGUGCCCACCGACGUGUGCCCCCAUCCCACCACGGCUCCGCUCACCUGCAGCACCGCAGCGCUGGAAUCAGGUGCAGCGACAACAAGCGCAGACAUCUCGCAGGACAUCACGGACAUUGAUGAGCUCCUGACAUGGAUGAACAACGGAGUGGAAUCCACCACAGAGAUCCCAGAUGACAUCCCAGACAUGGAUGACCUCCUGUCGUGGGUCAACAAUGAAGUGACGAGUCCUCUGGAGGUCCCCCAGCAGAACCAGGACCUGGUUGAUGUCCUAGCAGAGGGAACAAAACACACUGAGACAGUGGAAAAUGGUCACGAUGAGCUGCUGCCAGAACUGAACGCCCAGGAAAGGGCAGAGCUGCUGCAGUGGAUUGAUGCCACGCAGCCACCGAGCCCAGCUGUCCCCAGCAGCCUCAACAGCUCUCCUUUCAUCGCAGCGCUCCCUGACUUUCCCUGGGCCAGCACGGAGCUCAGCAGAGAGGCAGAGGCUGAUGCCAGGCCCAUCAGCGACCUGUUCUGGAGGCAGCCAGCAUGCUGUGGGCAGCUCUCUGAGUCGCUGCCUUUUGGGCAUCUGAUGGAAGAGGCACGGCAGAGGCAGCCCCGGGUGGUUCUCACCCGCCUGGCGCUGCCACCCGGCUGUAUCUCCUGCCACGUGCCAGACGACCCCCACGGGGAUGGCACCGGGCCAGCCGAGUGCCCAGCGCCCGCCUGCACCACCGGGAAAGACAGGAGCAGAGGGCACGAGCAGCGCGCUGGCAGCGUCCCAACCAGAAAGAGGAAGCUGCCCCUGGGCCAGGACGCUCCAGGACAGAAACGCCGGCUCCAGGUGAAGCUGGGUGGGCUCAGCACGAGCGGGACCAUCCACAGAAACCGGCCCACGUGGUGCAGCAGGAGGCACAGCCAUAGCCAACAAACAAGGCUACCUGUAGCCCUGGGCUCCUCGCCGGCCCCAGUGGCACACAGAGAGCAGCAGCAGUGCUCCAGGGGCACCAGCACCGGCCCCAGCCCUACCCCUCCAAACCUGGGCUUUCCACAAAUGCCAUCUUGGACUAGGACGAUGUAG
Phasianus colchicus (ring-necked pheasant) is the source of this 1667-nucleotide long non-coding RNA. NCBI's taxonomy places the organism in Eukaryota, Metazoa, Chordata, Aves, Galliformes, Phasianidae. The record is from Ensembl.